GUGCGCGCCAUCAGCCGCAGGGCGUACUGGGGAUUCGCCGACCACUUCAAGGAGCAGGCGGACUCGCUGCUCAACUCGCUGGACGCGCAGCACAAGAAGACGCUAGCCGGCGAGAUGAGCAAGUCUGGCAGCAACAACUCGCUCACUGCGCCGGUGUCAGGUCGCAGCGCGCUGGGCUCGCGCUCGCGCACCUCGUCCCGCUCCGGCAGCCAGGAGAACCUCAGCCGGACGGGCUCGAUCUCGCGCCGCUCGGCCAUCCCGCUGGCCAGCCCGGCCGGCCGA
This is a long non-coding RNA of Pollicipes pollicipes, 282 nucleotides long. RefSeq lists it as uncharacterized. Lineage: Eukaryota; Metazoa; Arthropoda; Thecostraca; Pollicipedomorpha; Pollicipedidae. The record is from RefSeq and is a predicted model, not a curated record. The transcript is spliced from 3 exons.